CCCGAUAGAGGGGGAUAACCACUGGAAACGGUGGCUAAUACCGCAUAACGUCGCAAGACCAAAGAGGGGGACCUUCGGGCCUCUCACUAUCGGAUGAACCCAGAUGGGAUUAGCUAGUAGGCGGGGUAAUGGCCCACCUAGGCGACGAUCCCUAGCUGGUCUGAGAGGAUGACCAGCCACACUGGAACUGAGACACGGUCCAGACUCCUACGGGAGGCAGCAGUGGGGAAUAUUGCACAAUGGGCGCAAGCCUGAUGCAGCCAUGCCGCGUGUAUGAAGAAGGCCUUCGGGUUGUAAAGUACUUUCAGCGGGGAGGAAGGCGAUGCGGUUAAUAACCGCGUCGAUUGACGUUACCCGCAGAAGAAGCACCGGCUAACUCCGUGCCAGCAGCCGCGGUAAU
Molecule: ribosomal RNA, 400 nt
Filed under: uncultured bacterium
Lineage: Bacteria
Description: bacterial SSU rRNA
Rfam family: Bacterial small subunit ribosomal RNA
Source: RNAcentral